Molecule: ribosomal RNA, 496 nt
Filed under: uncultured bacterium
Lineage: Bacteria
Description: partial 16S ribosomal RNA
Rfam family: Bacterial small subunit ribosomal RNA
Source: RNAcentral
GAUGAACGCUGGCGGCGUGCCUAAUACAUGCAAGUCGAGCGAUCAAACUUGGUACUUGUUCCUCUUACUUUAGCGGCGAACGGGUGAGUAACACGUGGUUAACCUCCCUUUAAGCCUGGGAUAACUUCUGGAAACCGAUGCUAAUACCGCAUAAUAACUUUAACCACAUGUUUCAAUAUUGAAAGAUGCUUUUGCUUUCCUUUAUGAUUUUAUCGCCUCGAAUUAGCUUGUUGGUAAGGUAAAGGCUUACCAAGGCAAAGAUGCGUAGCCGACCUGAGAGGGGGACGGGCCAAACUGGAACUGAGAAACGGCCCAGACUCCUACGGGAGGAAGCAGUAGGGAAUCUUGCGAAAAGAGCGAAAGCUUGACGGAGAAACGCUGCGGGAGUGAUGAAGGUUUUCGGAUCGAAAAACUCUGUUAUUAGGGAAGAACAAAUGGGGAAGUAAAUAUGCACGAAGUGACGGUACCUAAUCAGAAAGCCACGGCUAACUACGUG